AGUGAACGCUGGCGGUAGGCCUAACACAUGCAAGUCGAACGGCAGCACAGUAAGAGCUUGCUCUUACGGGUGGCGAGUGGCGGACGGGUGAGGAAUACAUCGGAAUCUACUUUUUCGUGGGGGAUAACGUAGGGAAACUUACGCUAAUACCGCAUACGACCUACGGGUGAAAGCAGGGGAUCUUCGGACCUUGCGCGAUUGAAUGAGCCGAUGUCGGAUUAGCUAGUUGGCGGGGUAAAGGCCCACCAAGGCGACGAUCCGUAGCUGGUCUGAGAGGAUGAUCAGCCACACUGGAAGUGAGACACGGUCCAGACUCCUACGGGAGGCAGCAGUGGGGAAUAUUGGACAAUGGGCGCAAGCCUGAACCAGCCAUACCGCGUGGGUGAAGAAGGCCUUCGGGUUGUAAAGCCCUUUUGUUGGGAAAGAAAAGCAGCAGGUUAAUACCCCGCUGUUCGGACGGUACCCAAAGAAUAAGCACCGGCUAACUUCGG
This 491-nucleotide ribosomal RNA is filed under the name uncultured bacterium. RNAcentral's name for it is "partial 16S ribosomal RNA". It matches the Rfam family "Bacterial small subunit ribosomal RNA", at positions 29 to 506 of the family's 1533-position model. The record is from RNAcentral.